GACGAACGCUGGCGGCGUGCCUAAUACAUGCAAGUUGAGCGCUGAAGGUUGGUACUUGUACCAACUGGAUGAGCAGCGAACGGGUGAGUAACGCGUGGGGAAUCUGCCUUUGAGCGGGGGACAACAUCUGGAAACGAAUGCUACUACCGCAUAAAAACUUUAAACACAAGUUUUAAGUUUGAAAGAUGCAAUUGCAUCACUCAAAGAUGAUCCCGCGUUGUAUUAGCUAGUUGGUGAGGUAAAGGCUCACCAAGGCGAUGAUACAUAGCCGACCUGAGAGGGUGAUCGGCCACAUUGGGACUGAGACACGGCCCAAACUCCUACGGGAGGCAGCAGUAGGGAAUCUUCGGCAAUGGACGAAAGUCUGACCGAGCAACGCCGCGUGAGUGAAGAAGGUUUUCGGAUCGUAAAACUCUGUUGGUAGAGAAGAACGUUGGUGAGAGUGGAAAGCUCAUCAAGUGACGGUAACUACCCAGAAAGGGACGGCUAACUACGUG
RNAcentral lists this ribosomal RNA (497 nucleotides) under uncultured bacterium. RNAcentral describes it as "partial 16S ribosomal RNA". It matches the Rfam family "Bacterial small subunit ribosomal RNA", at positions 28 to 507 of the family's 1533-position model. The record is from RNAcentral.